AGUGAACGCUGGCGGUAGGCCUAACACAUGCCAGUCGAACGGCAGCACAGUAAGAGCUUGCUCUUACGGGUGGCGAGUGGCGGACGGGUGAGGAAUACAUCGGAAUCUACUUUUUCGUGGGGGAUACGUAGGGAAACUUACGCUAAUACCGCAUACGACCUACGGGUGAAAGCAGGGGAUCUUCGGACCUUGCGCGAUUGAAUGAGCCGAUGUCGGAUUAGCUAGUUGGCGGGGUAAAGGCCCACCAAGGCGACGAUCCGUAGCUGGUCUGAGAGGAUGAUCAGCCACACUGGAACUGAGACACGGUCCAGACUCCUACGGGAGGCAGCAGUGGGGAAUAUUGGACAAUGGGCGCAAGCCUGAUCCAGCCAUACCGCGUGGGUGAAGAAGGCCUUCGGGUUGUAAAGCCCUUUUGUUGGGAAAGAAAAGCAGCAGGUUAAUACCCCGCUGUUCUGACGGUACCCAAAGAAUAAGCACCGGCUAACUUCGUG
This 491-nucleotide ribosomal RNA is filed under the name uncultured bacterium. RNAcentral's name for it is "partial 16S ribosomal RNA". It matches the Rfam family "Bacterial small subunit ribosomal RNA", at positions 29 to 507 of the family's 1533-position model. The record is from RNAcentral.